GAAGAUUUUCAGUCUUAGUCAUAUGCUUCAUAAUGUCUAGAUAUGUUCUUCGACAGGAGAUACGCUCUAGUCUAGUGCACGGCCGUCAGCAUGGAAGAAUCUAGCAACAUAAACAAUCUGUCACAGAGUCAACAAUAUUUAUUAUACAAUGCCAU
Long non-coding RNA from Sinocyclocheilus anshuiensis, 155 nucleotides. RefSeq lists it as uncharacterized. NCBI's taxonomy places the organism in Eukaryota, Metazoa, Chordata, Actinopteri, Cypriniformes, Cyprinidae. The record is from RefSeq and is a predicted model, not a curated record. The transcript is spliced from 3 exons.